Long non-coding RNA from Armigeres subalbatus, 1264 nucleotides. RefSeq lists it as uncharacterized. Lineage: Eukaryota; Metazoa; Arthropoda; Insecta; Diptera; Culicidae. The transcript has 4 exons. The record is from RefSeq and is a predicted model, not a curated record.
CAAGACCAAAACAGACGUGGUUUAAGUUGGCUACAAACUCGUGAUAGGUGUAAAGCAGAGUGAACUAUAAACAAAAAUCGAACCGGACAGUAUGUAGUCCAGAACAGCUGGAACAUGCCCAACAAUGGGAAAUCGAAGAAUGCGAUUGCGAAGAACAUCGGAAUAACAGAUGCUGAUUUGCAAAAGUGUCUAAAGGACUCGGCAACGAACGAUUCAACAUCACGUUUACUCCAGAGUAAUGGGAAGAACUAAGAGAUCACUGCAAAUCUCUUGAGGAGUGUUUCUAUGAUCGCGUAGAACUGUGUUCCGUCAAUUCAACCAUGGAUUCAAUGCUGAAACGCAGAUGGAUGGAAAAGGGAAGGUGCACAGAAGCAGCACACAGCACAGCAAGAAGGGACCGGUGCGUAAGCUUACCUUGACAGAUGCUGUCACCGUUGCCGUUUCGCUAAAGUAGAGCUGAUGGCCGGACGCCUUGCCGCACCAGGAGCCACCGGUAAACGGGCGACCCAGUUCGCUGAGCUGGAAGCAAAAGCAAAUGAGAUAUAGGUUGAAGUUUAAUGGUGUCAGUGAAGGAAAUUAUGUUUGAUGCUGGAUUAUAAAUAUAAGGAGAAAGUUGGCGCUUAGGAUCCAAUAUACUUAUAACAAGGCAAGCUGAAAUGUUUCGAUUCGCAUAAUUCAUACGCAUAUGCAACAUAUUUCGGAAUACAUUUUCAAAAUCAUCUGAAAGUCAUAAAUUUAUAAAUUCUUAAGAAGAAGAUGUACAAUUACACUACAGCGAUGUUUAAGGGCAUAAUCAACACUGAUGGAUAAGCAUGAGGGUGUCUACAACACGUGAAUACGAAUAUUUUCAAAGAUGAAUUAAAAAAACCCUGAUUAAUCCACCGAGCGGUAAUGGUGCCUUUCUCGUGCAAAUGAAAAACUGUAUUUUGUCCAGAACUCCCAAGGCCAUGGUCCAAUCUGGCCAAUUUUCGAUAGGAAAUAAUGGAACAGAAUUCUGCGUCAAAUGCAACUUGUUGCAAGCAAAUCGGUUAAAGAUAAGUGCCUGGAAAAUGAGUGACAAAUUUUUAAUAAUUUUUUUUUUGUAAAAAAAUGUUUUUUGGCCAUAAUUUCCGAGCCCAUUGUCCGAUCUGGCCAAUUUUGAAAAGGAAACAAUGGGACAAGAUUCUGCGUCAUCGGUUAAAGAUUAGUUAGUUGUAGUUAAAGUUGCAGCAAAAGUUCCCCUGAAAAACUUUGUCGAAGACAUCAAGUUCGUAGUUCCGUUACU